Long non-coding RNA from Apis cerana (Asiatic honeybee), 7424 nucleotides. RefSeq lists it as uncharacterized. The record is from RefSeq and is a predicted model, not a curated record. NCBI's taxonomy places the organism in Eukaryota, Metazoa, Arthropoda, Insecta, Hymenoptera, Apidae.
GUAACAUUGAGAAUCUAAUAAUACACGCGGCAGUGAGGCCUGGCCCGAGGCGUAGAAUCGCCGCUGCGUUCAUUACCUGUCUUCGUGUGUACGAGGCGAAAAAGUGAAGAGAGUGAAUUUUCGAGCGCGGUGAGGAUCAUCAUCACCGGUCCGCGUUAGAGGUGCUCACGACCUAAACUAAAAAUACGUUACGGGGUCCGAUCAACGGCCAACUGGGCCAGUGAAGUAAUCGCAGCUCAACGUCCCAAAUAUAGUCCGACAUCUGUACAUAUGGACGAGGAGUGCCGAUAGUUGGCAUCCACGACCAACGUACUACAAGAUCGUUAACAGUAUAAUAGCGGCUGUCACCACGAUUCUUCUUUCGAUGACGUCUAUUGUCGUUGGAGUAGCGACCAUCUUCUUGCGUGGUUAAUCUUGUUGUGACGCGACCAGGGAUGUCUUCAGGGAUUUCUGAAAUCAUUUCAAUCGUGUUAUUUCUUAUUUAAAGGAUAGAAUUUUAAUUUGUAGAUAUUAUAGAAGUAGAGAAAUAUUAUAGUAUAUAUUUUCAGGCGAAUUGAAUAUUCUGAAUUAGAGUAUGAUUUUUCUUUUUUUAAGUGUUUGUCGAUUGAUUAAUUUUUUGUGUAAAAUGAAGAUAAUAUUAUAUCGGUUUGAUUGGAAAUUUUUUCACCUGUUUUAAGAGGGAAUAUAUGUGAAGAAUUUGGAAGAUUUUCAUACAAGUGUUGAUUCGGAUCUAAUUUUGGUACGUCUAAUUUGUAUCCUUGAAAUUCGAAAAUUAUCGUUCGAAGAUGUCUCAUACUCGUGUUUCUAAGCUACGUAAUAUUUUCUUUGGAGGCUGCAUUAUUUUCAGAAAUAUGAAUCGAUCGUCCAUGUUGUGACAAUAUUUUAUUCUAAGUAAACCAUGUACGAACACAGCGCCUUAUUUCCCUGAGGAUAUAACUUAUAAUUUAUUGAAGCUAUUUUUUUCGUUGAUAUUAACAAAAGUGUCUCAAAAAAAAUCUCAAUAUUUAAUAUUAACAAUAACAACAAUAAGUCUAAAUAUCUAAUUAAAAUAUUCUCCACAUGUAGAAAUACAAGUUUAUCGAUUUUUAUCGAUUUAAUUAUCUCUAAUUAAAUUGAAUCCAAAUUCAGUGAUUUUUUCUAACAUUUCAAAUUUGUAAAUUUUCUUUUAAAUUUUAAAUUUUCAAAUUUUGCAAAACGCCUUAAAAUUAAAACUCCACUGAAGAACCCGAAAUCAAUUUUUCGUGGGAUCUCGAGAUACGAAUCGUUGCCAGAAAUUUAAUUUUGCAAUUUUCGUUAGCAUCCUCGUGGACAGAUCAUUUGCCAGAAAAACUUAUACUAUCGUACGUUCGCUUUAAUUCGAUCCACGACGACACGUGCGUAUACUUAUAAAUAAAUGGCACGCGAUUGUUUAUACGUCGAUACUGACUGACGACAUCAUGAAAGUGGUCGUGAAUGUUUUGCAUCAGAUGUCUGGUUCUGAGUCGCGACAUAUUAUAUACAUAUUAGAAUCAUUUUAAUCCUCGAGAGAGAUAGAUCGAGCAAAAGAUGCGAUGAGAAAAGAGUUGGAAGUGUAGGAUUGAUUUUCAAGGAAAAUUCAAUAUAAAUAACGUGAAGAAUUUAUGUAUAUAGGGUGAAUAAAAUAAUUUUAAUAAAUUUUAUUUAAAUAUCUUACUUAAUCUUCUAAGGAUAGAAAGAUAUUGAAAUGGAAAUUGGAAUUUUGUAGUAGAUAAAUAUAAUUGAUCAUUUUGAUAAUUUAUUUUUAUAGAUAAACUUGUUGAAGUAUAAAAAAAUUGUUUUGUUAGGUGAAAUUGGAUAAUGGUAUAUAUAUCGUAUAAACAUUUAUUUUGUAUUUAAAGUAUUUCUUGAUAUUGUUGAAAAACAAAUUGUGAAGUUAUGAAGUUACUUUAUUCACCCUGUGUAUGACCCUGUUCUGGGUUAGCAGUCUGCUUUUUUUUUGCUCUGACAUAGGAUAGUUUGAAGGACGUUCAUGGUGGUUAUCAUGGGUAAUUUAUUUGGAGGAAAAUGAUGAGGAAGUCUUAUUUUCAUAUUGUUAAGAAAAAUAAUAAUAUAAUACUUUUUAAUUUUUAAAGAGUAUGAAAAAGAAAUAUUGGAAAAUGUAUGAAAAAAAGAAUAUUAUAACAAAAUAUAAAGAGAAGCAUAUUAAAAGGAUAGUAAUAAAGAUAGAAUGAAAAAAAAAUGAAAAGAUAAUAAUAAAAUAUACUUAAAAAAAAAAAAUCAAGAAUAUAGAAAUACUUUUAAAAAAAAUAAUUAAAAAAUUAUUAAUUUUCUUAUAAAAUCUGAUUUUUAAAUAUGUUUAACAAUUAAUUUUUUUUAAAUUUUGUACAUCUAUAUAUUUUUUACCAAAUUUAUUUUAAAUCACGAAAUUCAUUCUCUUUCAUCAAAUAGCAAAAAAAAAAAAAGGAAACGAAAGACAGUUUAUGACAAUAUGACGAAUUCCAUAUGAUUAACUACAUAUGAAACAGGAAAAAAGCAAAACAGAAAAAAGAAAAAAGAUACGAACUGAGUUAACGUAACUAUUGUUGGCGAAGAAUCAGAGAUUACGUUUAGAAGAACAGUAUUCGAAUUCGUUUAAACAGAGAUAUUUGCAGAUUAAAUUUAAAUCUUCAACAAAAUAAUUUUUCAUUAAUUACGGAAAUUAUUCCUUCCUUCCUAAUUUAAUUGUUUAAAAAUCCUGAUAUCAUUUAUAAAUCAUAUUUUUUUAAUACUAAUUAAUUAAUUAAAAAAAAAAGAGAACAACAAUAAUAAAAUAAAAUUUUUCUUUUCUAAAGAGAAUAAAAGAGAAAAGAAGGUGAUCUCUUUCUUUCAUUACACGUGCGACUCAAUGAAAGCAUAACUCUAUUUUUAUAUCGAGUAAGAAAUCUGUCUACGAUCAAACACGUGGUCGCCUUGAAUAUCCACAUCCUACGUUUAACCCUAUCUAUUAUUUUCACUCUCUUAUUAACUCUUUAAAUAGUAAUUUUUUUUUUUUUAAAUGAAGUUCAAUAAAGUAUAAAGUAAUUUUAGUAUUCAAUAGCAAUCCAGCUCCCUAUUAACCCUUAUAACGACGACAAAUAAUUUGAAAAAUUAUUUAUCACAAAUUCUAUUGUACUCUAAAAAACAAUAUCGACAAUUCUAAAUAUUUUUCCUUGUUUCAUAUAUAUAAAUUUUGAAUAAAAUUAAAUAUUGAUCCAACAUUUCUCGUAAGGCAAAGGUUUAAAUUAUUAAAUUACAAUUAAAUUAUUUAAAUAUCAAUAUUCUUAUCAAUAUAUCAUUCGUCUCAAAAUAAUAUUAUCGAAUAAAGUAUACACAAAAUUCGAACGUCGCAAAAAUGAGGGCUGGCAAACGUUGGCGAGGAUAGGGUGAGAGGGAGCUGCACAAGACGAUCGGAGGACGAAAUGGUAGCAGAAACGACAGGUUUCGAGCAACGGAGACGUGGAGGAAACGCAGAAAACUCUCAUCUAUCAUGUCGGAACGUGUUACAAGCGAAAAUAGUCGCAAGGAUACGCCGAGGUCGGACUUGGCGAGCAACGUGGACGGGAUUGCCGGCGUCAAGGGUGCGGAUUAUCAAGCGUACGCACCAACUGCUGCGACACUGUCAUCGUUGUCACAGCGUCGAUAACUUCACGGUGUUUCCCUGGAGAAUAUCAUUUUUUAAAUUUAAAAUUUAAAUGUAGAGAUUUCAAACUUUGAAACAUUUUUUUUUUUAUUCGAGAACUUGAAAGUUGAGAAAUUGAAUAUUUUAAAAUUAUCGCAAAUGAGUAAAUAUUUCGAAGAAUAUUGUUUUUAAAUCUUCAGAAACUUAGAGGCGAAAAGCUUAAUUUUAGAGUUUAUACAAGGUAAAAUCAAGUUGAAAAUGUGACACAAAGUUCGCAAGAAGGUCAUAGUAUAUCAGGUACACGUGCACUUAACUCCGAUAUAACUUGUCGAAUGACACGUUAGUUAACUAUGAUGUGUUUAUGUGCAAAUUUUACGAGACAUGUAAAAUAAUUACUGUUAUUAAUAUAAACUAUCAAGAUGUUUUAAGUUAUCAGCAAUUUUCUGGGAAGAAUAUUCAUUUUAAAGUGUACCAUAUUAUUAACCGACAAAUAUAACUUAUUGCAAUAAUUUAUUAUAAAAUAAUGCUAUUAUUAAGAAUUUGCUUCAAUAUUUUUUACUUUAAUAUGAGAAAGAGAAGGAAAAAUAUUAUUUAUAUAAAAUAUUAAAUUAAAUUUUGUUUCUAUUCCGUUUUAUAAUUUUUAGUUAGUUUCACAAAAUGAGCUCUACAAAUUGUAUAAUUUAUUGAACUAUUUUUAUCAAGAAACAAACUAUUUAUAAAAUAUUAUGAAAGUGUUUAUAAAUAGUUAACAAUACUAUAAAUGUGGUAUAAAACAUUUAUUAUAAAUAUCCGAGUGAAUUCGAAUGUGUCAACGCGCAAUUUCUAAUUUAAAAAAAGAUUAAAUGAAACGAAUUUCUAAAUGAGAAUUGUCUUAAUAUUCCUGUUACUUACCUUUGAAGUGACAAUCUCAUUUUACGUCAUCCGUUAUAAUAGAUAUUGACAUUAGGAACUGGACAGGUGUGUUCAGGAAAAUGGUUUCAUUUUUCAGAGAACGAAUGGCACCAGAAGAUGACUGAAUUAAAUUAUUACAGCAUUUAAUUCUGAAAUAACAAAAAAUUUUCUUUAUUAAAUAUAAAUUACAAUAUAAGUUAGAGAAGAAUUAGUAAUUCUUAUAAAAAUUCCAUUAAAAAAAAUAAAUAGAUAUAAGAUAUCCUUUUAAAUAGGAACGUUCAUUGACUAUUCGAACGAAGCAAAAACCCAUUUCAGCAAGACGAAUGUGCUCAGGAGUAUUUAUAAUUCCGUGCUUCUUGUAAAACGUUGGAUUAUUUUUGUGUGCUUUCAAUGAUCAGAGAAGACGUAACGUCUGCUAUCCUAAGAUAUGUAACUUGCAUGAAAAUAUUUAAUAUAAUAUAUAUUUUUAAUAAAACAAAAAUUAAAAAUAUUAAUACGAUGUAAAACUAAGAUAAAACAUAAAUACAUUAGAAAAUUGUUUCAUGCAUAUUUCGAAAGAAAACUUUUAUAUUAUUUAUAUUUAAUUAACACGUAUAAAUUGAUAAUUCAAGAAGAAACGUCAUCUUAAUAGAUACUGACGUCUCGAAAGAAAUCGUGAUGUCAUGAUAUAUAUCCUUGAAAGAGACGCUAUUAUGGCCGGUCAAGCCUACGCUCUAGGCCAGGGGCUAGGCUAGGCUAUUUCCGCUAUUCAGCUUAUGGACAAAAAUAGUACUAGAGAGCUUUCGAACGAAAAGCUGCUGGGACCUCUGGUGGUGUCCCUCCGGAGAAAGACGAUUUUUGUACUUCCAGAAGUACCUCUUCAGAAGUAAUUCUUCAAUCUGCUAUCCAUUUCUUGCCACAAUUACUUUAAAAACAAAAUUUUCUCUCAUAUUUCUUCAAUUUUCUCUCAUCAUGUUUCUUCUAAUUUUCAUAUUACUGAUUGAUAAUUGAAAUCUUGGACAUAAUGAGAAAAAAGUUUGACACUUUUUAAAUUUAUUUUUACAUUACCGACAUCACAGAAAAUUUUCAUAUUUCUAACCUCACUUUCGUAUAAAAAUGUUCAUAUUCUUAAUUAACUUUAUAUAUUCCUCAUUUUUGUAAUCUAAAAUACAUAUAAUCUAAAUUAAUUUGAAUUAUAUUAUAUUUUAUAAAGUUUAGUAUAUAAAAUUUGAAAUAAAUAAAAAAAAAAACAAUUUUCCUGUAAUUCUCCAUUCUCCAAACAAGUAACAAGAAUCCACAUUAUUCAUUAUUCACAUCGAAGAACGAAACGAUUAAAUUUUCAUCACCUUAUUUAACAAUCUGUUCUCGUUUCGAAAUUCUGAUUUAAUUAUGCAUGGUUGCAAGGGACCGUUUACCAUUAUUUCGGUAAUUGGCGCGAGCAAUUAAUCUCGGCGCACCCACGUAAUCGCGUUACGUCGGCGCAUGCGCGUGCCUUUUUCGAAAACGAUUUUCUAUUUUCCACUGUGGCGAUGCGUGCGACAGGUGCUUGGCCGAUGCCAAAGCGAAAUCGCGCACAGGCUGCCCCACACCGUUGCUUCUCGGUAGAAUACUACGAUUUCUCGGGUGCACGGAUUUCGAAACACGUGAGAGACCAGAGAACAUGGGUAUUUUCAAUCGUCUCUUCUUUUUGCUGGCAGUACAACCCGACCAAGCCGCCUCUUGUCCUGGCCGGACCGAUAGGUGAAGGCGAUUGGAUCGAGUCACCUCUCGUAGUAUUUUUGGGUGGCCACGUGAUAUCAUUUUUCAUUUUUCGUUUUUUUGUACGGGGAAUAAAGUAGUUCUCGUUACCAACCAAUUUUUUUCUUUUGAAAUUUUAUUCAUUCAUUAAUUAUUCUGUGAAAUAAGAAAAUGGGGAAUUUUAAUUUGGAAAUACAUAUGGAAAUGGUAGAAGAUUCAGAACAGAUGAUGGUUUAUUUUAGGUGAGCAUGACUGAAUCUAAAUAUCUUAAGUUGAAGAAUAUUUCUAUGAAAAAAAGAGUGUCAAGAUUUCAAUGAAAUAAUUUAUUGAAAUAUUUAAUUGUUGUACAAGUUAGCAAUUUCUCUUCUUUCAAUCUUCACUUAAGAAAAGUAAGAAGAUUGUAUUUAUCUUUAUCUAGAAAUAUAUGAGCUAGAAUAUUCAUAUUAUAAUAUAAUAUCUGCAAAAUUAGUGAUAACCAAUCAAACCAUCUUUCUUCGCUCUUUAUCUCUUUAAGUUUGAAAAUAUAAUUUCAAAAAAAUAAUUGAUUUGGAAUAAAAUAGAAUAAAAAUUAUAUUCAAUAUAAUAAAUUAUAUUAUAAAAUAUAAUUUAAAUAGUGAGAAGAUUAAUUAAUCUUGAUUUCCAACAAAUUCUAAUAAAACAAAUAUAGCCUACAAUAAAAGAAGAUAAUUAACAGCAAUUACCAAGAGAAUCCUAAAGAAAUUAUAGGCUUCAUACGGUUCGUGAUAUCGAUGUUCAAUAAGAAGAGAAAAUAGUGAAUUUAGUUAACCUAGUUCCAUAGACCUCGUUCCUGGCGCUCGCGACCUUUACAUUUAUCGUUGAAUCCGGAUCCAGAGAGACACAGAAUGAGAUCCACCUCGAGAGCUGCUCCACCUGCCACCGGAUACCAGUGUGACCAGGCUGACCGUCCCGCAGUACGCCUACACGAAUUGCUACUGCGUUAUUUCGAGUGUUUUAGCCUUGGGUGCUGGCCAGAGAAAACUUUUGAAAUAUCGAGAAGCACUUGGUCUCUUCCUCGGCCAUCAGGAUUCUGUGAUAAGUACAAAGUAGCACAAAGUGAUCCGCGCGAGUAACUGCAACUAAAACGUGACGAGAAGAAUAUCAUGCCUCUUCUCCUAGGAAUAGGAAUUUGAAAUCGUUUUAUAUUUAUUGAAUCCAUCAACGGUGACAUGAUUAAUAAAGGAAUAUUUUCUUGAAGAUUUUA